CCCGGCUCACUAGCUCGGCUCCGAGCUCCUCCUCCCGUUUCCGCUGGCAGGAGCUGGAGCCGUGUCCCGCCGUGCGGCUGCAGCUCCCCCAGGACUCGGCCCCAUCCGGCCCGGCCCAGCCCGGCUCGGCUCGGCUCGGCGCUCGGCUCCGAGCUCCUCCUCCCGUUUCCGCUGGCAGGAGCUGGAGCCGUGUCCCGCCGUGCGGCUGCAGCUCCCCCAGGACUCGGCCCCAUCCGGCCCGGCCCAGCCCGGCUCGGCUCGGCUCGGCUCGGCUCAGAUCAGAUCAGAUCAGGGAGGCGCGGAAUUUAAGAAGUUCAACAUGGCAAGAGGCUGCCUGUGUUGUUUGAAAUAUGUGAUGUUCCUUUUCAAUUUAAUAUUUUGGGUGAGUACUGCCUUUUCAGUUGUCUUCGUUUGUUAGUGUAUCCUGUACUACUGCAUUAUGUGUACAGUGCAUCUUUAAAGCACUACAGUAAGC
RNAcentral lists this long non-coding RNA (475 nucleotides) under Apteryx owenii (little spotted kiwi). RNAcentral's name for it is "lncRNA (ENSAOWG00000014632.1)". Lineage: Eukaryota; Metazoa; Chordata; Aves; Apterygiformes; Apterygidae. The record is from RNAcentral.